UUAAGUAUGAAAAAAUUCAAUAAACCAUUCAUCAAGAAAACCAUCAAUAUUUGAUUUUAGCAGAUAGUUGAACCACAUGUGUUUCCUUUUCCUUGGUGAGAAACAAGUUUUUCUUUUAUGAGAAACAAAAGGAGUAUGAUAGAUAGGAAAGUUAUUUACAUGAAAGGAUAGAGGUCCUUCCAUCAUAAAUACAAACCAAACAAUGUUGGGGAAAAUAAGGAGUCCAA
Molecule: long non-coding RNA, 227 nt
Filed under: Vitis vinifera (wine grape)
Lineage: Eukaryota; Viridiplantae; Streptophyta; Magnoliopsida; Vitales; Vitaceae
Description: long non-coding RNA (VVIN_LNC006868)
Source: RNAcentral